Molecule: ribosomal RNA, 471 nt
Filed under: uncultured bacterium
Lineage: Bacteria
Description: bacterial SSU rRNA
Rfam family: Bacterial small subunit ribosomal RNA
Source: RNAcentral
UUCCAGACUCCUACGGGAGGCAGCAGUGGGGAAUAUUGCACAAUGGGCGCAAGCCUGAUGCAGCCAUGCCGCGUGUAUGAAGAAGGUCUUCGGGUUGUAAAGUACUUUCAGUCGGGAGGAAGGUGUCAAGGUUAAUAACCUUGGCAAUUGACGUUACCGACAGAAGAAGCACCGGCUAACUCCGUGCCAGCAGCCGCGGUAAUACGGAGGGUGCAAGCGUUAAUCGGAAUUACUGGGCGUAAAGCGCACGCAGGCGGUUGAUUGAGUCAGGUGUGAAAUCCGCGGGCUUAACCCGGGAAUUGCUUCUGAUACUGGUCAGCUAGAGUCCUGGAGAGGGAGGUAGAAUUCCUUGUGUAGCGGUGAAAUGCGUAGAGAUGUGGAGGAAUACCGGUGGCGAAGGCGGCCCCCUGGACAGAAACUGACGCUCAGGUGCGAAAGCGUGGGGAGCAAACAGGAUUAGAUACCCUAGUA